GCGGUGCGCCUUAUGCAUGCAAGUUGAGCGAAGCUUUUUGGUAGUUUACUACUAGAAAUGACUGAGCGGCGAACGGGUGAGUAACGCGUGAGCAAUCUACCUUAGUUACUGGGAUAGCCCGAGGAAACUCGGAUUAAUACCGGAUAUUCUUAUUUUUUCACAUGAAGUUUUAAGGAAAGGUCAGCCGAACUAAGAUGAGCUCGCGUUCUAUCAGCUAGUUGGUGGGGUAAAAGCCUACCAAGGCUACGACGGAUAGCUGGUCUGAGAGGACGAUCAGCCACACUGGGACUGAGACACGGCCCAGACUCCUACGGGAGGCUGCAGCAGGGAAUAUUGUGCAAUGAGCGAAAGCUUGACACAGCGACACCGCGUGUGGGAUGACGGUUCUAGGAUUGUAAACCACUUUCAGGAGGGAAGAAAAUGACGGUACCUCCACAAGAAGACCCGGC
Molecule: ribosomal RNA, 449 nt
Filed under: uncultured bacterium
Lineage: Bacteria
Description: bacterial SSU rRNA
Rfam family: Bacterial small subunit ribosomal RNA
Source: RNAcentral